AGGGUGUAAACGCUGCAGACUUGGUGUUGGGGGCCCUUUGGGGGCAUUCAGUGCCGGAGAGAAGUUGUUAAGUCUGCUACUUGGGGAGUACGUCCGCAAGGAUGAAACUUAAAGGAUUGGCGGGGAGCACCGCAACGGGAGGAGCGUGCGGUUUAAUUGGAUUCAACACCGUAAAACUCACCAGGGAAGACUGUUACAUGAAGGCCGAGAUGAAGACUCUGCUAGAUUUUCAGAGAGGUGGUGCAUGGCGUCAGUGACU
RNAcentral lists this ribosomal RNA (259 nucleotides) under uncultured archaeon. RNAcentral describes it as "partial 16S ribosomal RNA". It matches the Rfam family "Archaeal small subunit ribosomal RNA", at positions 748 to 1008 of the family's 1478-position model. The record is from RNAcentral.